GGCAGUAACAGAGAGUCUGGAUUAUGCUCAGAUUGAACGCUGGCGGGAUGCUUUACACAUGCAAGUCGAACGGCAGCACGGACUUGGUCUGUGGCGAGGGCGAACGGGUGAGUAAUGUAUCGGAACGUGCCUAGUAGCGGGGAUAACUACGCUGGUGCUGUAGCUAAUACUGCAUACGCCCUUCGGGGAAAGCGGGGGACCUUCGGGCCCUCGCAAUUACAGAGCGGCCGAUAUCGGAUUAGCUAGCUGCGGGGUAACGGCUCACUAAGGCGACGAUCCGUGCAGCUGUUUGAGAGGACGACCAGCCACACUGGGACUGAGACACGGCCCAGACUCCUACGGGAGGCAGCAGUGGGGAAUUUUGGACAAUGGGGGGAAACCCUGAUCCGUUUCAAUAUCCUCGCGGUAAAAGCAAGUUUACGCCGAAGGCCUCGGAAGGUGGUAAAGCACUUUUGGCAAGUGAAAAAAGAACGGCACGGGAUAAUACCCUGUGCAACUGACGGCAGAAUAAGCACCGGCUAACUACGUGCCAGCAGCCGCGGUAAUACGUAGGGUGCAAGCGUUAAUCGGAAUUACUGGGCGCGUGCGGCAGGCGGUUCGGAAAGAAAGAUGAAAAUCCCCGCGAGCGCACUUUGAACUGCAUUUUUAAUCACCGAGCUAGAGUGUGUCAGAGGGAGGUGGAAUUCCGCGUGUAGCAGUGAAUGCGUAGAUAUGCGGAGGAACACCGAUGGCGAAGGCAGCCUCCUGAUAACACCGCCACGCUCAUGCACGAAAGCGUGGGGAGUAAACAGGAUUAGAUACUCCUGGUAGUCCACGCCCUAAAACGAUGUCAACUAGCUGUUGGGGCCUUCGGCCUUGGUAGCGCAGCUAACGCGUGAAGUUGACCGCCUGGGGACGGUCGCAAGAUUAAAACUCAAAGGAAUUGACGGGGACCCGCACAAGCGGUGGAUGAUGUGUGGAUUAAUUCGAUGCAACGCGAAAACUCUAUUUUACCCUUGGACAUGUCUGGAAUCCCGAAGAGAUUUGGGAGUGCUCGCAAGAGAAACCGAACACAGGUGCUGUGCAUGGCUGUCGUCAGCUCGUGUCGUGAGAUGUUGGGUUAAGUCCCGCAACGAGCGCAACCCUUGUCAUUAGUUGCUACGAAAGGGCACUCAAUGAGACUGCCGGUGACAAACCGGAGGAAGGUGGGGAUGACGUCGUCUUUAUGGCCCUUAUGCAGUAGGGACACACGGUGCUUCACAAUGAAGUCGGGACAGAGGGUCGCUAACCCGGGCGCAGGAGCCAAUCCCAGGAACCCGAUCGCAGUCCGGAUCGCAGUCUGCAACUCGACUGCGUGAAGUCGGGAAUCGCUAGUAAUCGCGGAUCAGCAUGUCGCGGUGAAUACGUUCCCGGGUCUUGUACACACCGCCUGUCACACCAUGGGAGUGGGUUUUACCAGAAGUAGUUAGCCUUAACCGUAAGGAGGGCGAUUACCACGGCAGAUUCCGAUGACUGGGGUGAAGUCGUAACAAGGUAG
RNAcentral lists this ribosomal RNA (1516 nucleotides) under uncultured Bordetella sp. Its description in RNAcentral is "partial 16S-23S ribosomal RNA intergenic spacer". It matches the Rfam family "Bacterial small subunit ribosomal RNA". The record is from RNAcentral. Lineage: Bacteria; Pseudomonadati; Pseudomonadota; Betaproteobacteria; Burkholderiales; Alcaligenaceae.